RNAcentral lists this ribosomal RNA (464 nucleotides) under uncultured bacterium. RNAcentral's name for it is "partial 16S ribosomal RNA". It matches the Rfam family "Bacterial small subunit ribosomal RNA", at positions 28 to 507 of the family's 1533-position model. The record is from RNAcentral.
GACGAACGCUGGCGGCGUGCUUAACACAUGCAAGUCGAGCGGUAAGGCCUCUUCGUGGGUCCACGAGCGUCGAACGGGUGAGUAACACGUGGGUGACCUUCCCUCAGCUCUGGGAUAAGCCUGGGAAACUGGGUCUAAUACCGGAUAUGACCACAUGUUGCAUGGUGUGUGGUGGAAAGUUUUUUCGGCUGGUGAUGGGCCCGCUGCCUAUCAGCUUGUUGGUUGGGUGAUGUCCUACCAAGGCGACGACGGGUAGCCGGCCUGAGAGGGCGACCGGCCACACUGGGACUGAGACACGGACCAGACUCCUACGGGAGGCAGCAGUGGGGAAUAUUGCGCAAUGGGCGGAAGCCUGACGCAGCGACGCCGCGUGGGGGAUGACGGCCUUCGGGUUGUAAACCUCUUUCGACCGGGCCGAAGCGUAAGUGACGGUACCGGUAGAAGAAGCACCGGCCAACUACGUG